GCCGGGCGUGGUGGCGCACGCCUGUAAUCCCAGCACUUGGGAGGCUGAGGCAGGAGGAUCGCUGUGAGUUCGAGAACAGCCUGGGCUGCAUAGUGAGUUUCAGGGCAGUCUUAACUACACAGUGAGACCCUGUCUCAA
RNAcentral lists this non-coding RNA (138 nucleotides) under Fukomys damarensis (Damara mole-rat). The record is from Rfam by way of RNAcentral. Lineage: Eukaryota; Metazoa; Chordata; Mammalia; Rodentia; Bathyergidae.